GUAAAGUCAGCUAAAAAGCUCUCGGGCCCAUACCCCGAACAUGUUGGUUAAACCCCCUCCUUUACUA
This 67-nucleotide transfer RNA is filed under the name Metacrinia nichollsi (Nicholl's toadlet). RNAcentral describes it as "tRNA-Met". Lineage: Eukaryota; Metazoa; Chordata; Amphibia; Anura; Myobatrachidae. The record is from RNAcentral.